This 1539-nucleotide ribosomal RNA is filed under the name Streptococcus thermophilus. RNAcentral describes it as "16S ribosomal RNA". It matches the Rfam family "Bacterial small subunit ribosomal RNA". The record is from RNAcentral. Lineage: Bacteria; Bacillati; Bacillota; Bacilli; Lactobacillales; Streptococcaceae.
AUGGGAGAGUUUGAUCCUGGCUCAGGACGAACGCUGGCGGCGUGCCUAAUACAUGCAAGUAGAACGCUGAAGAGAGGAGCUUGCUCUUCUUGGAUGAGUUGCGAACGGGUGAGUAACGCGUAGGUAACCUGCCUUGUAGCGGGGGAUAACUAUUGGAAACGAUAGCUAAUACCGCAUAACAAUGGAUGACACAUGUCAUUUAUUUGAAAGGGGCAAUUGCUCCACUACAAGAUGGACCUGCGUUGUAUUAGCUAGUAGGUGAGGUAAUGGCUCACCUAGGCGACGAUACAUAGCCGACCUGAGAGGGUGAUCGGCCACACUGGGACUGAGACACGGCCCAGACUCCUACGGGAGGCAGCAGUAGGGAAUCUUCGGCAAUGGGGGCAACCCUGACCGAGCAACGCCGCGUGAGUGAAGAAGGUUUUCGGAUCGUAAAGCUCUGUUGUAAGUCAAGAACGGGUGUGAGAGUGGAAAGUUCACACUGUGACGGUAGCUUACCAGAAAGGGACGGCUAACUACGUGCCAGCAGCCGCGGUAAUACGUAGGUCCCGAGCGUUGUCCGGAUUUAUUGGGCGUAAAGCGAGCGCAGGCGGUUUGAUAAGUCUGAAGUUAAAGGCUGUGGCUCAACCAUAGUUCGCUUUGGAAACUGUCAAACUUGAGUGCAGAAGGGGAGAGUGGAAUUCCAUGUGUAGCGGUGAAAUGCGUAGAUAUAUGGAGGAACACCGGUGGCGAAAGCGGCUCUCUGGUCUGUAACUGACGCUGAGGCUCGAAAGCGUGGGGAGCGAACAGGAUUAGAUACCCUGGUAGUCCACGCCGUAAACGAUGAGUGCUAGGUGUUGGAUCCUUUCCGGGAUUCAGUGCCGCAGCUAACGCAUUAAGCACUCCGCCUGGGGAGUACGACCGCAAGGUUGAAACUCAAAGGAAUUGACGGGGGCCCGCACAAGCGGUGGAGCAUGUGGUUUAAUUCGAAGCAACGCGAAGAACCUUACCAGGUCUUGACAUCCCGAUGCUAUUUCUAGAGAUAGAAAGUUACUUCGGUACAUCGGUGACAGGUGGUGCAUGGUUGUCGUCAGCUCGUGUCGUGAGAUGUUGGGUUAAGUCCCGCAACGAGCGCAACCCCUAUUGUUAGUUGCCAUCAUUCAGUUGGGCACUCUAGCGAGACUGCCGGUAAUAAACCGGAGGAAGGUGGGGAUGACGUCAAAUCAUCAUGCCCCUUAUGACCUGGGCUACACACGUGCUACAAUGGUUGGUACAACGAGUUGCGAGUCGGUGACGGCGAGCUAAUCUCUUAAAGCCAAUCUCAGUUCGGAUUGUAGGCUGCAACUCGCCUACAUGAAGUCGGAAUCGCUAGUAAUCGCGGAUCAGCACGCCGCGGUGAAUACGUUCCCGGGCCUUGUACACACCGCCCGUCACACCACGAGAGUUUGUAACACCCGAAGUCGGUGAGGUAACCUUUUGGAGCCAGCCGCCUAAGGUGGGACAGAUGAUUGGGGUGAAGUCGUAACAAGGUAGCCGUAUCGGAAGGUGCGGCUGGAUCAC